CCCAAGGCCACAGGCCUCAGGGGCUUGUCGCUCUGACAGGGUAAUUGGAGCACUUGUGAAACCAGCCGGGUACUCAAGGAAAUGACCUGCAGGGCACGCUGGGGAGGAGUCGGAUACUUUCCUGUCACCUCCCAGAACCAGGGAGUUGGGCAAGGCAGGGAUCCAGGCAGGAUGCACUGAGCACCAAGGAGACCAUGGGCACUUCAGCCUGCUGGAUGCCAGACACCCUGGGACCAGAGAUGCUACCUCUUCAAUGUGGGCACAGGAAAGAUGGCAGUGACAGGCUGUGUGGCUUCUGGAAGGAAGCACAGAGAUGUCCAGGUCUUCCUUAGACACUCCCUGGAUACCUGCUUUCUAGGAAAUAAUAAAAGUACCUAAUUCACCAGGUGGAGCAAUGACUGAAGAGUGAAUACCCAUGCUGUGACUGGGACAAAGGCAUGGGCUUCUGUUUCAGUCCUGCUCUGAAAUGGCCCACGCUAUAAUGACUAACAUCCUGCAGAAAGUACAAGGUGGGAUGAGUGUUGCCUGACCCUGGGCUCUGACAGAGUUUUAGGAUAACAGAGACAGCUCAGAAGGAAUGGGCAGGCUCUUGAGACUCCCAGCAUUGAAGAACAGCCCCCCGGAUGCGCUCUGUGUUACACUUACCACUAACAACUACAUGGUUCUCCCAAGGAAUGAGGCUUAGAAGUGUUAAGUACUGUGGCCAGUGUCACCUGAGUUCUACACAGAGGUCAGACGUGAAACUCACACCCCUGCGUCAUCGGAAACAAGGGCUCUUCACCCCUCUGCCUGCUAGUAAUUAACUUGCACCUGAACCUGUUGCUAUUUGAACAUUUUUAAUGAAUAAAGGUGAAUUUCUAAUGGGUCAGCUGCAACCACGCUGCCCCACAGAAAUCAAACUGGGAAGAGUAACAGUGAUCUGAGGUGACUUGAGUCCGUUUUCUAGGACACAGCCCAGGGCUGUUUCUCUUCUCCAGGCCCGCAUCUUCCCAUGCUCCUCCUGCCUCCUUUUAGAUCUACUCCACACAGCUGCGUUUUUAUUUGGGCAUCCCCAUGGGCUCCAUGUGUUCACCAGGUCUUACAGGAAGGGCUGGAGACACGGCAUCAGUGCAGUCUCGCUCCUGCCCCAGCUGGAGGAGUGGCCAGGCUCACCCUUCCUUUUCCCAGGGAUGAGCCCUGGGCCUUGGACGCGCUAGGCAGACACCCUGCCAUUGUGUUACAUCCCAAGAGUAAUAUGUUGCUGAGCUGAAGGCCUUUUCUAGGACAGGUCCAGCUACCUUUGCAAAGUGGGGAGGGCCUCUCUGAUCUAGCCCACCCCUCAGGAAGGCACUGAGAAGAGGGCAGCUGGCCCGUUUGUGCAUCCCUCCCUACCCUGUUUGCUCUCUAGGACCUCAUGCAGCCAAAGUGUCUUUAUCCUGGUGGCAGAAUAAAGUCACAAAGAAUAUGUUAAAAGGAGAUCAAAAGUCUAGAUUCAAGGAACGCUGGUCAUUCUUCAAGUCUAAAGGCUGGUUGUUUCACCACUCAGUGGAAGCAGUUUUCAUUGCAGUUUAUUUCCUUGGAAGCUGAAACUCCAUGGACUGGCUUCUGUCCUACAUACCGUAUUUCAUUUUAUCUGGGUGCCUGUGCUAUUACAGCUCAAAUCAUGAGUGUUCCCAUGUUCCAUGUGUUAAAGACUUGGUCACCAGCUUGAGGCCCAGUUAGGAGGCAGUGUGACCUUUAGGUAGAGUCUAGUGGAAGGAAUUUAGGUCAUUGGGGGUAUGCCCUCAAAGGGGAUGUCGGGAUCCCAGCCACUUCCUAUCUCUCCUUUGCUUCCUCAUUGCCAGGAGGUGAAGGCGAUUCCCCAACACAUGCCUCCUGCCAUCAUGUGCUGCUUUACCACAGGCCCAAAAGUAGUAAAG
Octodon degus (degu) is the source of this 1898-nucleotide long non-coding RNA. RefSeq lists it as uncharacterized. The record is from RefSeq and is a predicted model, not a curated record. The transcript is spliced from 4 exons. NCBI's taxonomy places the organism in Eukaryota, Metazoa, Chordata, Mammalia, Rodentia, Octodontidae.